Molecule: long non-coding RNA, 559 nt
Filed under: Medicago truncatula (barrel medic)
Lineage: Eukaryota; Viridiplantae; Streptophyta; Magnoliopsida; Fabales; Fabaceae
Description: lncRNA gene13251
Source: RNAcentral
AUGAGUCUACAGCAAAGCAGCCUUUGCUUCAAAUGGAAGCCUCUGUUUCACAUGCUCCUGCCUUUCUAUAAAAAAUUCCAACCUCGGUUUUAAGUGUCACACUGCUACGUUCUCUAUUUUGGAUAUGUAAAGGGAUAGUCUAUUUUUGUAUUAUCCUUGUUAACUCAUCCAUUAAUAUUUGAACUUCCAUCCCUUUCUCCAAUAAAAUCUAUUCUUUUAUGAAAAAAAGAAAAUUAUAGAAUACAAAUACAAUUCAAGUAGCUAAAGCUCUUUCCUUCUUGAAGUUUUUUUAUUGUUGCAAGUUGCAUCAGUGGUUGAGAGGAAGAUUACACAUGGUUGGCACUAAAUAACACAAUGAUGAAGAUUUGCAUACCACUUUCAAAUAUACUGACGGGGAGAUCCUUCUGUGAGUGAUUGAUUGCAGGGUUCAGAAGCACAUAAACCGGACUUUCAUUGAUAUCCAUCAACUCUUUAUGAAUAUGCAUAUCAGAUUCCUCUGCAUCGCUUCCAGUUGAAUACCAUCCCAAUAUGUAGAAGUGUGGAAAAACCUUCUUAUCUG